GUGCUCGCUUCAGCAGCACAUACACUAAAAUUGGAGCGAUACAGGGAAGAUUAGUAUGGUCCCCGCACAAGGAUGACACACAAAUUUGUGAAGCAUUCCAUAUAUUU
Molecule: small nuclear RNA, 107 nt
Filed under: Choloepus hoffmanni (Hoffmann's two-fingered sloth)
Lineage: Eukaryota; Metazoa; Chordata; Mammalia; Pilosa; Megalonychidae
Source: RNAcentral